This is a long non-coding RNA of Solanum stenotomum, 382 nucleotides long. RefSeq lists it as uncharacterized. The transcript is spliced from 3 exons. Lineage: Eukaryota; Viridiplantae; Streptophyta; Magnoliopsida; Solanales; Solanaceae. The record is from RefSeq and is a predicted model, not a curated record.
AUUUGGAUAACUAUCAUUUUUAAAAAUAAAUUCAAAAGGGAGACUCUACAAAUCUCGUCUGUGGUGCCAGUCCAACAAUCUGGUGGUCCAGCAGCAAAACUGUCGUUUUAUCCACCACGAUUAAAGGCCAUCAAGCUUCACUGUAACAAAUCUCUUUUUCAAAACAUUCAACUCCAAUAUCCUCGCCGGAAAACACAAAAAAAUUAGGGUUUGUUGUUCACCGGACUAACGCCGGCCAUGGCUAUGCACGCUGGAGUAGGCAUAACAAAGAUCGUCUUCAUCGUCGGAGCAGGGUAUACUGGUACUUUGUUGUUUAAAAACGGAAAAUUAUCGGAUGUGAUAGGCGAGCUUCAGAAUUUGGUCAAAAGUUAUGAAAAGACAG